Molecule: long non-coding RNA, 527 nt
Filed under: Homo sapiens (human)
Lineage: Eukaryota; Metazoa; Chordata; Mammalia; Primates; Hominidae
Description: HSALNT0290484
Source: RNAcentral
GGAGCCAGAACAGCGGAAUUGCCUUCGCCCGCCCUGCCCCUCGCCUGCUUCAGAAGCUUCCAGGAACUCCCGGGUCGGCGACCCAGCCCGAGCCGCCUGGGGCCCCAAGGGAAGCUGAACGCCCUGUGGGCUCCUGGGAUGGUUCUUCCCGUUCUUUGCGCCGCCUUCACCCAUUGAAGAGCCUGUGCCCACCCUGCCCAGUCGCUCUCGGGGCCGCGGAGGAGCUUCCGCUGCCAUCUUCGGAUCCUGUGUUCCGCACGGGGGCUCCACCAGGGCAGGGAUGGUGAAUGGGGAAAUGGAGAGAGAACCUGAAAGAGCCCCAAACUCGAGGACCUAUUGCUCCCCAAGAAUAACAUCUUCCAGAAGAACUAGACAGAAAACUAGGCGUCUGGGAACUCUGAAAUCCUUGGAGGAGUAGCAUCAUCAUGACCCUCUGUGUUCCUUUUGGCAAAGGACUUGCUCCCAUUGUUUGCUUGUUCCAUUGUCUGUCUGUUAAAUAAAUAAAACCCUUUUCAUAUAUCUUUAAA